GACGAACGCUGGCGGCGUGCCUAAUACAUGCAAGUCGAGCGCAGGAAACUGACGGAACUCUUCGGAGGGAAGGCAGUGGAAUGAGCGGCGGACGGGUGAGUAACACGUAAGGAACCUGCCUCAAGGAUUGGGAUGACUCCGAGAAAUCGGAGCUAAUACCGGAUAGUUCAACGGACCGCAUGGCCCGUUGAUGAAAGGCGCUCCGGCGUCACCUUGAGAUGGCCUUGCGGUGCAUUAGCUAGUUGGUGGGGUAACGGCUCACCAAGGCGACGAUGCAUAGCCGACCUGAGAGGGUGAUCGGCCACACUGGGACUGAGACACGGCCCAGACUCCUACGGGAGGCAGCAGUAGGGAAUCUUCCACAAUGGACGAAAGUCUGAUGGAGCAACGCCGCGUGAGUGAUGAAGGUUUUCGGAUCGUAAAACUCUGUUGUAAGGGAAGAACACGUACGAGAGGAAAUGCUCGUACCUUGACGGUACCUUACGAGAAAGCCACGGCUAACUACGUGCCAGCCGCCGCCGUAA
Molecule: ribosomal RNA, 524 nt
Filed under: uncultured bacterium
Lineage: Bacteria
Description: partial 16S ribosomal RNA
Rfam family: Bacterial small subunit ribosomal RNA
Source: RNAcentral